UUUUUUAUUUAAUCCAAACCCAUUAAAAAUGUCUAAGCCGCCCAAUUAAUCCUCCACCAGCCCAUCGUCAUUAAACUAAAGAACCAAAUGUAUUUACAGGCAAGAGUUUCUUGGAGAACAGGGGGAGAGAGAGAGAGAGAGAGAGAGAGAGAGAGAGAGAGAGAAGGAGCUCGCCGGAGAGGGAAAGAGAGAGGAGUUUAGUAAACAAGUUAACCAGACCUGCAUGAAAUUUAAUUUUGUACCAUGAAGAGAUUGUCCCAACAAGCCGGUGCACGUCGCUUUUCAUUGUACAAGUUUAUGAAGUCUUCAGUCUGGUUUAUAGCCUGCUACAUGGCUCGAAGAGGCUACUGAGUAGCCUGCUCAGGGUCUAGGAGGCAAGAAGCUUAGACAUGACAGAUGGUGUGGAGUACUAAUUUUAAAUAAUUAUAAAUUCCAGCCGUUGAAGAAAUGGAAAGUGGUUUUGUAUCCCUGUGUAUCUAGUUAAUCAUUUUGAAAUGAAAACAACAACGCAAAGAUCGAUUUUGUCAGAACCAUAAACAAAAAGAGAAACUGAAGAAGAAAAACGUCGCAAAUCAAAAAGGAAGAUCCCAAAAAAUGCGUGAAAGAGGAAUUUACCUCGACGGACGAGGAAAAACUGAUAAUCUGCUUUUUGAUAAGAUUUUCUCUUUUUAGUGAGAAUAAAGCAUAAAUUUUUUUGCAAUUUUAAGAUGAUUUUAUUGAUGUUGAUCUGGAACUCAAAUACCAAAAAAACUCAAUUACUGCUCCGAUUAACUAGGAAGCGGUUUCUGGAAAUUAAAGCAUAAAGGAUAAAGUUUAGACUAAGUAUUGGCAAUGACUAGCACAUUUGCUCGGUUCCCUUUUCCUCACGUUUUUCUUCUUUAGUUGCACUUCGUCUUUUAUUCAUUCCUAUUCUGGACGUGCUCUCCUUCGGGAUAUUCUACUAGUCCUUUGGGGCUUAUCAGUAUCCUCCUCUUUCACUUGAACCUUAUCCUCAAGGUUUAGACCUGGAAACCUUUUCAAUUGACUCCAGAUAUCUUUGUAAUGAAUCACGAAGUUAGCGAAGUAUUGUAGCUUCUUUGUCUUUCAAUCACAACUUUUUAUCACUACAUAAUUGGAUGGGUUGCAGUGCUUGUUCAACUUAAG
Molecule: long non-coding RNA, 1143 nt
Filed under: Carica papaya (papaya)
Lineage: Eukaryota; Viridiplantae; Streptophyta; Magnoliopsida; Brassicales; Caricaceae
Description: long non-coding RNA (CPAP_LNC002810)
Source: RNAcentral